AUACGGAGGGGGCUAGCGUUGUUCGGAAUUACUGGGCGUAAAGCGCGCGUAGGCGGAUUGAUCAGUCAGGGGUGAAAUCCCGGAGCUUAACUCCGGAACUGCCUUUGAUACUGUCAAUCUUGAGUUCGAGAGAGGUGAGUGGAAUUCCUAGUGUAGAGGUGAAAUUCGUAGAUAUUAGGAAGAACACCAGUGGCGAAGGCGGCUCACUGGCUCGAUACUGACGCUGAGGUGCGAAAGCGUGGGGAGCAAGCAGGAUUAGAUACCCCAGUAGUCC
Molecule: ribosomal RNA, 274 nt
Filed under: uncultured bacterium
Lineage: Bacteria
Description: partial 16S ribosomal RNA
Rfam family: Bacterial small subunit ribosomal RNA
Source: RNAcentral